UACAGAGGUCUCAAGCGUUGUUCGGAUUCAUUGGGCGUAAAGGGUGCGUAGGUGGCGCUGUAAGUCGGGUGUGAAAUUUCGGAGCUUAACUCCGAAACUGCAUUCGAUACUGCGGUGCUUGAGGACUGGAGAGGAGACUGGAAUUCAUGGUGUAGCAGUGAAAUGCGUAGAGAUCAUGAGGAAGACCAGUGGCGAAGGCGGCUCACUGGUCCGGUACUGACGCUGAGGUGCGAAAGCGUGGGGAGCAAACAGG
Molecule: ribosomal RNA, 253 nt
Filed under: uncultured bacterium
Lineage: Bacteria
Description: partial 16S ribosomal RNA
Rfam family: Bacterial small subunit ribosomal RNA
Source: RNAcentral